RNAcentral lists this ribosomal RNA (459 nucleotides) under uncultured bacterium. RNAcentral's name for it is "partial 16S ribosomal RNA". It matches the Rfam family "Bacterial small subunit ribosomal RNA", at positions 338 to 795 of the family's 1533-position model. The record is from RNAcentral.
CCUACGGGUGGCAGCAGUGAGGAAUAUUGGUCAAUGGGCGGAAGCCUGAACCAGCCAAGCCGCGUGAGGGAGGAAGGCGCAGAGCGUCGCAGACCUCUUUUGCCGGGGGACAAAAGGCCGGACUCGUCCGGUCCUGAGGGUACCCGGAGAAAAAGCAUCGGCUAACUCCGUGCCAGCAGCCGUGGUAAUACGGAGGAUGCGAGCGGUAUCGGGAUUCAUUGGGUUUAAAGGGUGCGCAGGCGGGCCUUUAAGCCGGCGGUGAAAUCGCGGGGCUCAACCCCGGCGAGCCGUUGAAACUGGCGGGCUGGAGUUGGAGAGAAGUACGCGGAAUGCGCGGUGUAGCGGUGAAAUGCUUAGAUAUCGCGCAGAACCCCGAUUGCGAAGGCAGCGUACCGGCUCCACACUGACGCUGAGGCACGAAAGCGUGGGUAUCGAACAGGAUUAGAUACCCGAGUAGUC